This 525-nucleotide ribosomal RNA is filed under the name Basidiomycota sp. GM 18-06. RNAcentral describes it as "eukaryotic LSU rRNA". The stretch from base 163 to 316 matches the Rfam family "5.8S ribosomal RNA". The record is from RNAcentral. Lineage: Eukaryota; Fungi; Basidiomycota.
CUUGGUCAUUUAGAGGAAGUAAAAGUCGUAACAAGGUUUCCGUAGGUGAACCUGCGGAAGGAUCAUCGUAGAAAUUCGUUGGCAUUUACAAACCCCGUGUGCACUCUGUUACCUUUACACGCUUUUGAAGUCAUUGGAAUGGCCUUUUUGAAAAAUAAAUACAACUUUCAACAACGGAUCUCUUGGCUCUCGCAUCGAUGAAGAACGCGGCGAAAUGCGAUAAGUAAUGUGAAUUGCAGAAUCCAGUGAAUCAUCGAGUCUUUGAAUGCACCUUGCGCCCCUUGGUAUUCCGAGGGGCAUGCCCGUUUGAGUGUCGUGGUAUCCUCAACCUCUUGGUUGGACUUGGGCGCUGCAGGCUUGUCCUGCUCGCCUCAAAUGAAUUAGCUGCGCUGGUUUGGCUGGGAUGUGAUAGUUCUUUACGUCUUGCCUCGCUUUGCUGUCGGCUUUUUUGACUCUCCACUUGACCUUUGACCUCAAAUCGGGUAAGACUACCCGCUGAACUUAAGCAUAUCAAUAAGCGGAGGA